Molecule: unclassified non-coding RNA, 920 nt
Filed under: Hevea brasiliensis (rubber tree)
Lineage: Eukaryota; Viridiplantae; Streptophyta; Magnoliopsida; Malpighiales; Euphorbiaceae
Source: RNAcentral
AAAAAACUAACAGAACUUGCAGCAAAGGAACUUUAAAUAGAAAUGUCAUAUCCCACACUAAAAAAGGGCACGAAGCACGCCAGAAUCUCACUCAAUGCUAGCUGUCACUUCAGGCAGGUAGGUAGUGUAAGUCCAUGGCACACAAAAGCCAGUACAACAUAGACAAUCACUAGGAGGAGGACAAUCAAAGCAAUCGUAAGCUUGACGUUUCUCCACCAUACUGUGUUUCUGAAACGACGAGCUUGCUUUCUGAAACGGAAGGUGUUCCCUUGCAUAUUAGCAGUUUUAUCAACCAGCAAUUCCAAACGAUCUCCUCUCUCUAAAACUUUGUCAAUAUUCUCAAUCAUGACAUUUCGCACCUGACUCAUUUCACCUUUUAGUCUAUUUAUCCUGUCAGCAUUUGGAUCAUUUGAGUAAUACUCCAUUUGCUGGCUCAAAACCCUUGAAAAUUCAUCAUUCAUGGCAUAAGCCUGGGCUGAAUGAACAGCCCGGCCAUAAGUCCUCACAAAUCUUUGAUGAAUGUCUUCAAGAAACGCAAAAGGAAUUCUUCUUCCAGCGGUAUCAUCGGCCAUACAGAGAACAGUGAGGCCAUCGGUGCGUUUGACAUGAAAUAUAUAACGAUCUUGAGAAUAAGAGACGUGGCUGUCAUUAUUGCCUGGUAUCUUCUCCAAUAUCUGCCUUGCAAUGGCGCUAGCGUUGGUCGCCGUCGCAGUAAACUCCGCCAGAACCACCGAUCCCCUCGCUACCAGCGCGUAAAGGAUCGCCAUAUCCUCUUUCUCGCUCUCAAAAUUAGGGAUCGAUCAAUCAGUUGAACGGUGCUUUGAUCGAUCAACUUCAAUUAUAAAAGGCUCUCUCUUCUUGAUAAAACCUAAUUAAAAGGUAAACAAAAUGUAAAAACUCUCUCUCUCUCUCUCUCUCUC